UUCCGGUUGAUCCUGCCGGACCUGACUGCUAUCGGAUUGAUACUAAGCCAUGCGAGUCAUUGUAGCAAUACAAGGCAUACGGCUCAGUAACGCGUAGUCAACCUAACCUAUGGACGGGGAUAACCUCGGGAAACUGAGAAUAAUACCCGAUAGAACAUUAUGCCUGGAAUGGUUUAUGUUUCAAAUAAUUUAUUGCCGUAGGAUGGGACUGCGGCCUAUCAGUUUGUUGGUGAGGUAAUGGCCCAUCAAGACUAUUACAGGUACGGGCUCUGAGAGGAGUAGCCCGGAGAUGGGUACUGAGACACGGACCCAGGCCCUAUGGGGCGCAGCAGGCGAGAAAACUUUGCAAUGUGCGAAAGCACGACAAGGUUAAUCCGAGUGGUUUCUGCUAAAGGAACCUUUUGACAGUCAUAGAACCACUGUUGAAUAAGGGGUGGGCAAGUUCUGGUGUCAGCCGCCGCGGUAAAACCAGCACCUCAAGUGGUCAGGAUGAUUAUUGGGCCUAAAGCAUCCGUAGCCUGCUUUGUAAGUUUUCGGUUAAAUCCGUACGCUUAACGUAUGGGCUGCCGGAAAUACUGCAAAGCUAGGGAGUGGGAGAGGUAGACGGUACUCGGUAGGAAGGGGUAAAAUCCUUUGAUCUAUUGAUGACCACCUGUGGCGAAGGCGGUCUACCAGAACACGUCCGACGGUGAGGGAUGAAAGCUGGGGGAGCAAACCGGAUUAGAUACCCGGGUAGUCCCAGCUGUAAACUAUGCAAACUCGGUGAUGCAUUGGCUUGAUGCCUAUGCAGUGCCGCAGGGAAGCCGUUAAGUUUGCCGCCUGGGAAGUACGUACGCAAGUAUGAAACUUAAAGGAAUUGGCGGGGG
Molecule: ribosomal RNA, 866 nt
Filed under: uncultured archaeon
Lineage: Archaea
Description: bacterial SSU rRNA
Rfam family: Archaeal small subunit ribosomal RNA
Source: RNAcentral